RNAcentral lists this ribosomal RNA (497 nucleotides) under uncultured bacterium. RNAcentral's name for it is "partial 16S ribosomal RNA". It matches the Rfam family "Bacterial small subunit ribosomal RNA", at positions 28 to 507 of the family's 1533-position model. The record is from RNAcentral.
GAUGAACGCUGGCGGCGUGCCUAAUACAUGCAAGUCGAGCGAACAGACGAGGAGCUUGCUCCUCUGACGUUAGCGGCGGACGGGUGAGUAACACGUGGAUAACCUACCUAUAAGACUGGGAUAACUCCGGGAAACCAGAGCUAAUACCGGAUAAUAUAUUGAACCGCAUGGUUCAAUAGUGAAAGACGGUUUUGCUGUCACUUAUAGAUGGAUCCGCGCCGCAUUAGCUAGUUGGUAAGGUAACGGCUUACCAAGGCAACGAUGCGUAGCCGACCUGAGAGGGUGAUCGGCCACACUGGAACUGAGACACGGUCCAGACUCCUACGGGAGGCAGCAGUAGGGAAUCUUCCGCAAUGGGCGAAAGCUUGACGGAGCAACGCCGCGUGAGUGAUGAAGGUCUUCGGAUCGUAAAACUCUGUUAUUAGGGAAGAACAAAUGUGUAAGUAACUAUGCACGUCUUGACGGUACCUAAUCAGAAAGCCACGGCUAACUACGUG